RNAcentral lists this transfer RNA (74 nucleotides) under Dermacoccus sp. PAMC28757. Its description in RNAcentral is "tRNA-Gly". It matches the Rfam family "tRNA". From Rfam's summary of the family: Transfer RNA (tRNA) molecules are approximately 80 nucleotides in length. Their secondary structure includes four short double-helical elements and three loops (D, anti-codon, and T loops). The record is from RNAcentral. Lineage: Bacteria; Bacillati; Actinomycetota; Actinomycetes; Micrococcales; Dermacoccaceae.
GCGGGCGUAGCUCAAUGGUAGAGUGCCAGCUUCCCAAGCUGGACACGCGGGUUCGAUUCCCGUCGCCCGCUCCA